Molecule: ribosomal RNA, 423 nt
Filed under: uncultured bacterium
Lineage: Bacteria
Description: bacterial SSU rRNA
Rfam family: Bacterial small subunit ribosomal RNA
Source: RNAcentral
GGAAUAUUGGACAAUGGGGGAAACCCUGAUCCAGCCAUGCCGCGUGUGUGAAGAAGGCCUUCGGGUUGUAAAGCACUUUCAGUGGGGAGGAAAGAUUAUCGGUUAAUACCCGGUAAAGUUGACGUUACCCACAGAAGAAGCACCGGCUAAUUCCGUGCCAGCAGCCGCGGUAAUACGGAAGGUGCAAGCGUUAAUCGGAAUUACUGGGCGUAAAGCGCGCGCAGGCGGCUUGGUCAGUCGGGUGUGAAAGCCCCGGGCUCAACCUGGGAACUGCAUCCGAUACUGCCAAGCUAGAGUACGAGAGAGGAGAGUGGAAUUCCAGGUGUAGCGGUGAAAUGCGUAGAGAUCUGGAGGAACAUCAGUGGCGAAGGCGGCUCUCUGGCUUGAUACUGACGCUGAGGUGCGAAAGCGUGGGGAGCAAAC